RNAcentral lists this ribosomal RNA (497 nucleotides) under uncultured bacterium. Its description in RNAcentral is "partial 16S ribosomal RNA". It matches the Rfam family "Bacterial small subunit ribosomal RNA", at positions 28 to 507 of the family's 1533-position model. The record is from RNAcentral.
GAUGAACGCUGGCGGCGUGCCUAAUACAUGCAAGUCGAGCGAACAGACGAGGAGCUUGCUCCUCUGACGUUAGCGGCGGACGGGUGAGUAACACGUGGAUAACCUACCUAUAAGACUGGGAUAACUUCGGGAAACCGGAGCUAAUACCGGAUAAUAUAUUGAACCGCAUGGUUCAAUAGUGAAAGACGGUUUUGCUGUCACUUAUAGAUGGAUCCGCGCCGCAUUAGCUAGUUGGUAAGGUAACGGCUUACCAAGGCGACGAUGCGUAGCCGACCUGAGAGGGUGAUCGGCCACACUGGAACUGAGACACGGUCCAGACUCCUACGGGAGGCAGCAGUAUGGAAUCUUCCGCAAUGGGCGAAAGCCUGACGGAGCAACGCGGCGUGAGUGAUGAAGGUCUUCGGAUCGUAAAACUCUGUUAUUAGGGAAGAACAAAUGUGUAAGUAACUAUGCACGUCUUGACGGUACCUAAUCAGAAAGCCACGGCUAACUACGUG